UACGUAGGGUGCAAGCGUUGUCCGGAAUUAUUGGGCGUAAAGAGCUCGUAGGCGGUUUGUCGCGUCUGCUGUGAAAACCCGAGGCUCAACCUCGGGCCUGCAGUGGGUACGGGCAGACUAGAGUGCGGUAGGGGAGAUUGGAAUUCCUGGUGUAGCGGUGAAAUGCGCAGAUAUCAGGAGGAACACCGGUGGCGAAGGCGGGUCUCUGGGCCGAUACUGACGCUGAGGAGUGAAAGCGUGGGGAGCGAACAGG
RNAcentral lists this ribosomal RNA (253 nucleotides) under uncultured bacterium. RNAcentral's name for it is "partial 16S ribosomal RNA". It matches the Rfam family "Bacterial small subunit ribosomal RNA", at positions 524 to 776 of the family's 1533-position model. The record is from RNAcentral.